UUACGGUCAUAUCCCGUUGAAACACCGGUUCUCGAACAAUCUCCAAAGUUAAGAAACGUUGAUCCUGGCCAGUACCUAGAUAGGUAACCGCUUGGGAAUACGCGUGUUA
This is a non-coding RNA of Acanthosepion pharaonis, 109 nucleotides long. NCBI's taxonomy places the organism in Eukaryota, Metazoa, Mollusca, Cephalopoda, Sepiida, Sepiidae. The record is from the annotation of a GenBank genome assembly.